RNAcentral lists this ribosomal RNA (253 nucleotides) under uncultured bacterium. RNAcentral describes it as "partial 16S ribosomal RNA". It matches the Rfam family "Bacterial small subunit ribosomal RNA", at positions 524 to 776 of the family's 1533-position model. The record is from RNAcentral.
GUCGGGGGAUGCAAGCGUUAUCCGGAAUCACUGGGCGUAAAGCGUCUGUAGGUGGUGAUGCAAGUCACUGGUGCAAAACUCUGGCUCAACCGGAGGAAAGCCAGUGAAACUGCAUGACUAGAGUGUGGGAGAGGUAGAAGGAAUUCCCUGAGUAGCGGUGAAAUGCGUAGAUACAGGGAAGAACAUCGGAGGCGAAAGCGUUCUACUGGAACACAACUGACACUGAGAGACGAAAGCUAGGGGAGCUAAUGGG